AACGAACGCUGGCGGCAUGCCUAACACAUGCAAGUCGAACGAGACCUUCGGGUCUAGUGGCGCACGGGUGCGUAACGCGUGGUAACCUGCCCUUAGGUUCGGAAUAACUCCCCGAAAGGGGUGCUAAUACCGGAUAAUGUCUUCGGACCUAAGAUUUAUCGCCUUUGGAUGGGGGCGCGUUGGAUUAGGUAGUUGGUAGGGUAAAAGCCUACCAAGGGGACGAUCCAUAGCUGGUCUGAGAGGAUGAUCAGCCACACUGGGACUGAGACACGGCCCAGACUCCUACGGGAGGCAGCAGUGGGGAAUAUUAGACAAUGGGCGAAAGCCUAAUACAGCAAUGCCGCGUGAGUGAUGAAGGCCUUAGGGUUGUAAAGCUCUUUUACCCGGGAUGAUAAUGACAGUACCGGGAGAAUAAGCUCCGGCUAACUCCGUG
Molecule: ribosomal RNA, 433 nt
Filed under: uncultured bacterium
Lineage: Bacteria
Description: partial 16S ribosomal RNA
Rfam family: Bacterial small subunit ribosomal RNA
Source: RNAcentral